CGGCUAAUAAGUGACGGUACCUUACCAGAAAGGGACGGCUAACUACGUGCCAGCAGCCGCGGUAAUACGUAGGUCCCGAGCGUUAUCCGGAAUUAUUGGGCGUAAAGGGCACGUAGGCGGACAAAUAAGUUUGAUGUCAAAUAUGAUGGCUCAACCAUCAAGAGGCGUUGAAAACUGUUUAUCUAGAAUCUCGGAGAGGUAAGUGGAAUUCCAUGUGUAGCGGUGGAAUGCGUAGAUAUAUGGAGGAACACCAAUGGCGAAGGCAGCUUACUGGACGAAGAUUGACGCUGAGGUGCGAAAGCGUGGGUAGCAAACAGGAUUAGAUACCCUGGUAG
RNAcentral lists this ribosomal RNA (335 nucleotides) under uncultured bacterium. Its description in RNAcentral is "bacterial SSU rRNA". It matches the Rfam family "Bacterial small subunit ribosomal RNA", at positions 459 to 793 of the family's 1533-position model. The record is from RNAcentral.